UUCGGUUGUGAGCUAUGCAUCAGCAUCCAAACGGGAACCGUAGUCUGCGACAGACGACAGCAGUACCAGUGAGUCGUUUAAUAUUGCUGCCUGAAUCCUUGUGCAAUAGUGCUACCAUUAACUUUCAGGCGGAGAUAACUAACUAUAUCCUGCAUUACAUAUCUGCUGUCAGGACUUUCAGUUGUUAUCGAAAUAAACCUUUGGUUGCGAAUAUUUGUGAGUCAGAGUUUACUUCUAAUUAUUGUCUUCCUUUGUUGCCCUAUUUGUUCACAUCAAGGAUAUUUUGUACGACAGUGGGUGUCAGAAACGCCGCACACUCGCAGAAGGCGGUCGUUAUACACACAAAAUCUCGAAAAAAGAUAUCGGAACUUGCGUCGCUUUUUUCACCUUGUAUCUGUGGGCAUGGACGACUGAGUGGCUCAUUUUCGUGUCCACUGACAACUUUUUUCUUUUGGCAAAUUGAAGUGAAAGUAUUGAAUUUAAUGCAUUAAAGAGUUGCACGGAUGAUAAUUCAAAAAUAUUUCAUUGUUGUUGGUUCCAAGUUCUUGUGUGUGUUUAGUUUGGUUUACCUUAGGGCGUUUAUUUUUGCAAUAGGGAACCGGUACAUGAUGUUCGUGGAAAGAAAAAUACAUAUAAAGUCCUAAUAGCUUCAUGUCUUUCAUGCGUUUGCUUGUUGAACUAGUAGUGUGACCACUCCUAGUGUAUAAAUGAGCCCAUAAAUGCUGUCAUUUGUGAUCCUAAUAAUACUUAAGCUGUUGACGCACAUUGUAGUUAGGCAGACAUCAAUGUUAUGAACAGUAGCAAUAUUUAUUGAACCCCACAAAGCCUAACGCAUCAUUUUAUAUGCUAAAUUUUUUGCCUGACAAAUCUGAUUUUGUGCUCUACACCCAAUGUGCAGCCUACAUUCUAGAGGGAGUGUUCAGUUGUGAAUAGUUCAGAAAAUUAGUAAAAUUCUCAUACUAAUUCAUUUUUACUGAAUUAUAAUUUUGCUGCUUUCCUCACACUUAUUACUCUGUGACCAGAAAUACAUGUGAGCAAUUUUUUUUUUUUUGACGUGGAGCGGUGUUCGAGCUUUCUGGGGUUAACAUGCUGCUUAAGCAUCCUAGAACAAACAGUGCACGUUUGCAUGUUUUCUGCCGUCAUAAACGUUACAUUGUAACAGCUUUUUGCAUUUCACACAACGAAAUUUUUCUUUAAUUUUUGAUGAAGUCAAUAUUUUUUUUCCCAGACACGCAGUAAAAAUGAUGGUGCCUGUGUAAAGCAGGGCACUCCACGCAUUGAAGAGAAGCUACUGUUUUCUACAACACGGCCACUGUGUGGACUUUGGCUGCUGCUACAAGAGCCUGUCCCAAGCACGUCUCGACCCAGUCAGCACGACCCAGUCAGUCGUUCAAGAGUCUGCGCCAAGUACAUCUUGGUCCUCAUCGCAGGAGCUGCCAUUUACACCUACAGAAAGGGGCUGGAGCCAAAUUUGGAAGGCUUUUACCCCAUGAAGAAACAAGAGAAACAUGAAGAAAUAUUUGGAUGAAAUGGCAUGCAUAUGGAGUUCCGUGUCAAGACUGAAAACAGCCUCGGCCAUCAUCCCACCAGCGCGGAUAUCGGCCCAGUCAUCCACUUACCUCAACAAAGACUUUUUAGAAAUUCAUUGUGUUCAUAUGCCAGUUUGCCCUUCACCUCUAUUUCAGUAGCCCAAAGGCAUACAGGUACCUGGCAAAAACCCUUAGCGUUCCAACAGUAAAAAUGUUAAGAACCUGGCUAUCUGCAAGAUCACUCAAGACUGGAUUUAUGCCAGACAUUAUGGAUAUUGUAAAAGAUAAAACAAAAAAAGAGGGAUUUGAUGCACAGGGCAUGUGUCUUCAUCUUUGAUAAAAUGUCUCUGAAAUGAAACCUGCA
Long non-coding RNA from Dermacentor andersoni, 1893 nucleotides. RefSeq lists it as uncharacterized. The record is from RefSeq and is a predicted model, not a curated record. NCBI's taxonomy places the organism in Eukaryota, Metazoa, Arthropoda, Arachnida, Ixodida, Ixodidae.